AUGGGGAACCUCAGUUCACAUUUAAUCACUUUUGCUGCAGGAUACAACAAGUUAAUCGGUGGAAUUCCUACAUCAAUCUCAAACAUAACUAACCUUCAACGGAUAGAUCAUAGUAACAACUUGUUCACCGAGCCAAUCUCGGAAUCCGUCAGUAUGUUGGAGAAUCUGGUAUGGCUGGAUAUCUCUCACAAUGAAAUGUUAGGCCCUAUCCCAACACAAAUGGGUAUGCUUGGGAGCCUACAACGUUUGUUUCUCCGAGGAAACAAACUUUUAGGCUCCAUACCAAACAACUUUGGUAAUGUAAGUUCGUUAGAAUACAUCGACUUGUCCAGUAACCAUUUAAUUUCAAUGAUACCCAUGAGCUUUUUUCGCCUAGCUAAACUUAUCAAACUAGAUCUUUCACAUAAUUCCUCCGUUGGUGCACUACCAGCUAAUUUUUCUACUCUAAGACAAACAAAUUACAUGGACAUUUCUUCCAACUUCUUGAUAGGAAGCAUCCCAAAUUCAUUCAGACAACUUAGUAGCUAA
This 528-nucleotide ribosomal RNA is filed under the name Triticum aestivum (bread wheat). Its description in RNAcentral is "partial small subunit ribosomal RNA". Lineage: Eukaryota; Viridiplantae; Streptophyta; Magnoliopsida; Poales; Poaceae. The record is from RNAcentral.